GCGGCGGUGCUGGAACUGGUCUACAGGGCACCCUCAAAAGGUGCUGUCCGUAAGGGCUUGUGGGUUCGAAUCCCACCCGCCGCA
Molecule: transfer RNA, 84 nt
Filed under: Actinomycetota bacterium
Lineage: Bacteria; Bacillati; Actinomycetota
Description: tRNA-Leu
Rfam family: tRNA
About the family: Transfer RNA (tRNA) molecules are approximately 80 nucleotides in length. Their secondary structure includes four short double-helical elements and three loops (D, anti-codon, and T loops). Further hydrogen bonds mediate the characteristic L-shaped molecular structure. tRNAs have two regions of fundamental functional importance: the anti-codon, which is responsible for specific mRNA codon recognition, and the 3' end, to which the tRNAs corresponding amino acid is attached (by aminoacyl-tRNA synthetases). tRNAs cope with the degeneracy of the genetic code in two manners: having more than one tRNA (with a specific anti-codon) for a particular amino acid; and 'wobble' base-pairing, i.e. permitting non-standard base-pairing at the 3rd anti-codon position.
Source: RNAcentral